This 395-nucleotide unclassified non-coding RNA is filed under the name soil metagenome. Its description in RNAcentral is "partial contains 5.8S ribosomal RNA, internal transcribed spacer 2, and large subunit ribosomal RNA". The stretch from base 1 to 120 matches the Rfam family "5.8S ribosomal RNA", at positions 35 to 154 of the family's 154-position model. The record is from RNAcentral.
GAUGAAGAACGUAGCGAAAUGCGAUAAGUAAUGUGAAUUGCAGAAUUCAGUGAAUCAUCGAAUCUUUGAACGCACCUUGCGCCUUUUGGUAUUCCGAAAGGCACACCUGUUUGAGCGUCGUGAAUACCUCAAUCUCCAUCUUUUCUUCGGAUUGAUGGGUGACUUGGAUGUUGAGCCCUGCUGGUAUGCUAUAUCAGCUGGCUUUAAACUUAUUAGCCGGCUCUGUACUGGAUCGGUUUGACUCGACGUGAUAAUAUUAUCGUUGAGGAUGCAUGUCUCAUGCAGCCGGAAAGUAUCAAAGCAGCUUCUAGCUUGCCUUUAGUGCACUUUUACAUUUUAGACCUCAGAUCAGGUGGGACUACCCGCUGAACUUAAGCAUAUCAAUAAGCGGAGGA